RNAcentral lists this ribosomal RNA (469 nucleotides) under uncultured bacterium. RNAcentral's name for it is "partial 16S ribosomal RNA". It matches the Rfam family "Bacterial small subunit ribosomal RNA", at positions 28 to 507 of the family's 1533-position model. The record is from RNAcentral.
GAUGAACGCUGGCGGCGUGCUUAACACAUGCAAGUCGAACGGUGAGCCCGGAGCUUGCUCUGUGGGAUCAGUGGCGAACGGGUGAGUAACACGUGAGCAACCUGCCCCUGACUCUGGGAUAAGCGCUGGAAACGGCGUCUAAUACUGGAUAUGUGACGUGACCGCAUGGUCUGCGUUUGGAAAGAUUUUUCGGUUGGGGAUGGGCUCGCGGCCUAUCAGCUUGUUGGUGAGGUAAUGGCUCACCAAGGCGUCGACGGGUAGCCGGCCUGAGAGGGUGACCGGCCACACUGGGACUGAGACACGGCCCAGACUCCUACGGGAGGCAGCAGUGGGGAAUAUUGCACAAUGGGCGCAAGCCUGAUGCAGCAACGCCGCGUGAGGGAUGACGGCCUUCGGGUUGUAAACCUCUUUUAGCAGGGAAGAAGCGAAAGUGACGGUACCUGCAGAAAAAGCGCCGGCUAACUACGUG